AUACGUAGGGGGCGAGCGUUGUCCGGAAUGAUUGGGCGUAAAGGGCGCGUAGGCGGCCCGGUAAGUCUGGAGUGAAAGUCCUGUUUUUAAGAUGGGAAUUGCUUUGGAUACUGUCGGGCUUGAGUGCAGGAGAGGUAAGUGGAAUUCCCAGUGUAGCGGUGAAAUGCGUAGAGAUUGGGAGGAACACCAGUGGCGAAGGCGACUUACUGGACUGUAACUGACGCUGAGGCGCGAAAGUGUGGGGAGCAAACAGGAUUAGAUACCCUGGUAGUCCACACUGUAAACGAUGAAUGCUAGGUGUAGGGGGUAUCGACCCCUUCUGUGCCGCAGUCAACACAAUAAGCAUUCCGCCUGGGGAGUAUGGCCGCAAGGUUGAAACUCAAAGGAAUUGACGGGG
This 397-nucleotide ribosomal RNA is filed under the name uncultured bacterium. RNAcentral's name for it is "partial 16S ribosomal RNA". It matches the Rfam family "Bacterial small subunit ribosomal RNA", at positions 523 to 918 of the family's 1533-position model. The record is from RNAcentral.